GCCGAGGUAGCCAAGCGGUCAACGGCGAUGGACUCAAGAUCCAUUCUCGUAGGGGUUCGCGAGUUCGAAUCUCGCCCUCGGCACCA
Molecule: transfer RNA, 86 nt
Filed under: Candidatus Thorarchaeota archaeon
Lineage: Archaea; Promethearchaeati; Candidatus Thorarchaeota
Description: tRNA-Leu
Rfam family: tRNA
About the family: Transfer RNA (tRNA) molecules are approximately 80 nucleotides in length. Their secondary structure includes four short double-helical elements and three loops (D, anti-codon, and T loops).
Source: RNAcentral